RNAcentral lists this ribosomal RNA (733 nucleotides) under uncultured eukaryote. RNAcentral describes it as "SSU rRNA". It matches the Rfam family "Eukaryotic small subunit ribosomal RNA", at positions 557 to 1295 of the family's 1831-position model. The record is from RNAcentral.
UAGUCUGGUGCCAGCAGCCGCGGUAAUUCCAGCUCCAAUAGCGUAUAUUAAAGUUGUUGCAGUUAAAACGCUCGUAGUCGGAUUUCGGGGCAGGUUUGCCGGUCUGCCGAUGGGUAUGCACUGGUAGAACUGUCCUUCCUUCCGGAGACGGCGCCUACUCUUAACUGAGCGGGUGUCGGAGACGGAUCGUUUACUUUGAAAAAAUCAGAGUGUUUCAAGCAGGCAGCUCGCUUUUGCAUGGAUUAGCAUGGGAUAAUGAAAUAGGACUUUGGUGCUAUUUUGUUGGUUUCGAACACCGAAGUAAUGAUUAACAGGGACAGUCAGGGGCACUCGUAUUCCGCCGAGAGAGGUGAAAUUCUUAGACCAGCGGAAGACGAACCACUGCGAAAGCAUUUGCCAGGGAUGUUUUCACUGAUCAAGAACGAAAGUUAGGGGAUCGAAGACGAUCAGAUACCGUCGUAGUCUUAACCAUAAACCAUGCCGACUAGGGAUUGGAGGAUGUUCCUAUGUGACUCCUUCAGCACCUUUCGGGAAACUAAAGUCUUUGGGUUCCGGGGGGAGUAUGGUCGCAAGGCUGAAACUUAAAGGAAUUGACGAAAGGGCACCACCAGGAGUGGAGCCUGCGGCUUAAUUUGACUCAACACGGGGAAACUUACCAGGUCCAGACAUAGUAAGGAUUGACAGAUUGAGAGCUCUUUCUUGAUUCUAUGGGUGGUGGUGCAUGGCCGUUCUU